AGUGAACGCUGGCGGUAGGCCUAACACAUGCAAGUCGAACGGCAGCACAGUAAGAGCUUGCUCUUACGGGUGGCGAGUGGCGGACGGGUGAGGAAUACAUCGGAAUCUACUUUUUCGUGGGGGAUAACGUAGGGAAACUUACGCUAAUACCGCAUACGACCUACGGGUGAAAGCAGGGGAUCUUCGGACCUUGCGCGAUUGAAUGAGCCGAUGUCGGAUUAGCUAGUUGGCGGGGUAAAGGCCCACCAAGGCGACGAUCCGUAGCUGGCCUGAGAGGAUGAUCAGCCACACUGGAACUGAGACACGGUCCAGACUCCUACGGGAGGCAGCAGUGGGGAAUAUUGGGCAAUGGGCGCAAGCCUGAUCCAGCCAUGCCGCGUGGGUGAAGAAGGCCUUCGGGUUGUAAAGCCCUUUUGUUGGGAAAGAAAAGCAGCAGGUUAAUACCCCGCUGUUCUGACGGUACCCAAAGAAAAAGCACCGGCUAACUUCGUG
Molecule: ribosomal RNA, 492 nt
Filed under: uncultured bacterium
Lineage: Bacteria
Description: partial 16S ribosomal RNA
Rfam family: Bacterial small subunit ribosomal RNA
Source: RNAcentral